AUACUCUGGUUUCUUUUCAAAACGUAUAAAUCUUUCGCCUUUUACUAAAGAUUUCCGUGGAAAGAAACUUUGCUGAGUUUUUACUCAAUUUUUUGAGCCUUGCUUUGGCAGGCU
Rhinolophus ferrumequinum (greater horseshoe bat) is the source of this 114-nucleotide small nuclear RNA. Its record names the gene U5. It matches the Rfam family "U5 spliceosomal RNA". From Rfam's summary of the family: U5 RNA is a component of both types of known spliceosome. NCBI's taxonomy places the organism in Eukaryota, Metazoa, Chordata, Mammalia, Chiroptera, Rhinolophidae. The record is from Ensembl.